This 253-nucleotide ribosomal RNA is filed under the name uncultured bacterium. Its description in RNAcentral is "partial 16S ribosomal RNA". It matches the Rfam family "Bacterial small subunit ribosomal RNA", at positions 524 to 776 of the family's 1533-position model. The record is from RNAcentral.
UACGAAGGGGGCUAGCGUUGCUCGGAAUCACUGGGCGUAAAGGGUGCGUAGGCGGGUCUUUAAGUCAGGGGUGAAAUCCCGAGGCUCAACCUCGGAACUGCCUUCGAUACUGCGGGUCUCGAGUCCGGGAGAGGUGAGUGGAAUUCCUAGUGUAGAGGUGAAAUUCGUAGAUAUUAGGAAGAACACCAGUGGCGAAGGCGGCUCACUGGCCCGGUACUGACGCUGAGGCGCGAAAGCGUGGGGAGCAAACAGG